This 248-nucleotide long non-coding RNA is filed under the name Polistes fuscatus (common paper wasp). Its description in RNAcentral is "uncharacterized LOC122519831". Lineage: Eukaryota; Metazoa; Arthropoda; Insecta; Hymenoptera; Vespidae. The record is from RNAcentral.
GGCGCGCAGUCGCGUACGAGAGCUUCGAUCUCGCGUUGCACACCUCACUCUUGCCAAACUGAUUCUGAUGUUUGUGAAUAACAGAAAAGAGAAGAGAAGAGAAAAGAAGAGAAAAAAGAUGCUUCGUCUCAUACUCGUUCGCGUAGACUGGCUCUCGGCAACGAGAAUGAAUACCUAACUUGGAGAGGAUAGAUGAUGGGCGAAGUGACGAGAAAGACUGAACGAAUGAAAAAAAGAAAUAAUCAAAA